AAGCAAUACUCUGUGGCAGAUGAACAAAUCUAUCUGACACAAUUUGAGCUUACUAUAGCAAGAAAGCUUAACCUAUUCUGGUGUUCUCUUUCCCAUGAGACAACCAGCUAUAUAGGCUCAAAAAGU
This is a small nucleolar RNA of Nannospalax galili (Upper Galilee mountains blind mole rat), 126 nucleotides long. The record is from Ensembl. Lineage: Eukaryota; Metazoa; Chordata; Mammalia; Rodentia; Spalacidae.